AUUGAACGCUGGCGGCAGGCCUAACACAUGCAAGUCGAGCGGAUGAAGGGAGCUUGCUCCCUGAUUUAGCGGCGGACGGGUGAGUAAUGCCUAGGAAUCUGCCUGGUAGUGGGGGAUAACGUUCCGAAAGGAACGCUAAUACCGCAUACGUCCUACGGGAGAAAGCAGGGGACCUUCGGGCCUUGCGCUAUCAGAUGAGCCUAGGUCGGAUUAGCUAGUUGGUGAGGUAAUGGCUCACCAAGGCGACGAUCCGUAACUGGUCUGAGAGGAUGAUCAGUCACACUGGAACUGAGACACGGUCCAGACUCCUACGGGAGGCAGCAGUGGGGAAUAUUGGACAAUGGGCGAAAGCCUGAUCCAGCCAUGCCGCGUGUGUGAAGAAGGUCUUCGGAUUGUAAAGCACUUUAAGUUGGGAGGAAGGGCAUUAACCUAAUACGUUAGUGUUUUGACGUUACCGACAGAAUAAGCACCGGCUAACUUCGUGCCAGCAGCCGCGGUAAUACGAAGGGUGCAAGCGUUAAUCGGAAUUACUGGGCGUAAAGCGCGCGUAGGCGGUUCGUUAAGUUGGAUGUGAAAGCCCCGGGCUCAACCUGGGAACUGCAUCCAAAACUGGCGAGCUAGAGUACGGUAGAGGGUGGUGGAAUUUCCUGUGUAGCGGUGAAAUGCGUAGAUAUAGGAAGGAACACCAGUGGCGAAGGCGACCACCUGUACUGAUACUGACACUGAGGUGCGAAAGCGUGGGGAGCAAACAGGAUUAGAUACCCUGGUAGUCCACGCCGUAAACGAUGUCAACUAGCCGUUGGGUUCCUUGAGAACUUAGUGGCGCAGCUAACGCAUUAAGUUGACCGCCUGGGGAGUACGGCCGCAAGGUUAAAACUCAAAUGAAUUGACGGGG
RNAcentral lists this ribosomal RNA (895 nucleotides) under uncultured bacterium. RNAcentral describes it as "bacterial SSU rRNA". It matches the Rfam family "Bacterial small subunit ribosomal RNA", at positions 28 to 918 of the family's 1533-position model. The record is from RNAcentral.